Molecule: small nuclear RNA, 70 nt
Filed under: Octodon degus (degu)
Lineage: Eukaryota; Metazoa; Chordata; Mammalia; Rodentia; Octodontidae
Source: RNAcentral
UUUGGAGAGAGGAUUAGCUCAGCCCCUGCACAAGGACAACAUGCAAAUUCAUGAGGAAUUCCAAUUUAUC